This 6639-nucleotide long non-coding RNA is filed under the name Podarcis lilfordi (Lilford's wall lizard). The record is from RNAcentral. Lineage: Eukaryota; Metazoa; Chordata; Lepidosauria; Squamata; Lacertidae.
CGGAAAGCGGAGUACAGCUGGACUGCUGUUAAGGGGUGAGUAAGCCAUAGGGAGAGUCGGGCAUGAAACUCUGCCACGGACAGAUUUUUAGAAGAUACCAUCCUUGAGCAGAAUCCUUUGCACUCAAACGGAAUUUCAUAGAUGCUUACUUACAGCUGAGUCACCUAUUAUUAUGCGCCCUCCUGCAGCGGGGAGGCCCAGCAAGGCUCAGCCCCUCAAGAUUGGGGGAGGGGGGCCUCAACCCCAUCCCUACAUACUUUGUACAGGACUGAGCUGUCCUCAGCCCCAUAGAGUUGGCACCUUUGACACCAGGGAAAGAUUCAGCAAAAUUGUGCUGGUAGGAAACAACACAAAGACUCCUGCUAGCUCAACAGGACUUCCUCCCCACAUUGUGCCCAUGCCCCUCCAAACUGGUUCAAGGAGGGAGUGUCAUGAGAACCCCCAGAACAGCAUGCAGAAGCAGGAGGAGGAAGUGGGGUGUCAUUCUGUCUGGCAAACAGAAGUGCUUGCGCUGAUAAAGCAAUAACAGCAUGAAGUUGAAUUCCAUCCCAUAGUUAGAUGACAUCCAAAGGGGGUUCCAGUGCUCACCCAAAGUUCAGCUUCCAUGGAAUAAAGUCCAGAGGACACUGUAGUGUCUUUAGGAUAUAUGGUUUUAUUGACACAUACAGACAUACCUUGGAAGUCAAACGGAAUCCGUUCCGGAAGUCCGUUCGACUUCCGAAAAGUUCGGAAACCAAGGCAAAGCUUCUGAUUGGUUCCCGAUUGCGCAGGUGCGCUGGAAACAAUAGCCGAAGCUGCGCUGGACGUUAAGCUUCCAAAAAAGUCCAAAAACUGGAACACUCAAUUCUGGUCUUUGAUCGUUCGGGAGCCGGAAUGUUUCAUUCUCCCUUGGCGUUUGGGAGCCAAGGUAUGACUGUAUAUGUAACCUCAGCAUAGGAUGGAGGGGCUCACAGCAUUGCCAUCCUGAAAGAUCUUGUUUUGCCGUUCUUUGCAGCUUUGGAUGCAGCACAGAGCAAGCUGUGUCUCCAUCUUUUAGCCCAGGUCACACAUCCCUCCGAUGAUUGUUCUGCUACCUAGCAGCUAGGGUGUAGGGGGAGGCCCACUCAUUUGUUCUAUGGCACAGAGCACCUUCUUUGGUUAUGCUAAUCGUGGCGAUUAAGUAGCCAGCCAAAGCCAUUACCUAGACAAAGGAACAGGUUCAGCAACUCACACACAUUCUGUGCCCACAGAUUCAGGAUCCCAAGAGCUGGAAGGGACUCAGGGCAUUAUUCACACUGACCCUCCCCAACACAUAACACUAUAUUAUAAAAAUGAACUUUUGACCAGUGCAGAUACUUGUGGCUUCAGCACCAAGCCAGGUGUCUUCCAUGCCCGCAUUCCCUUAAUAUCCAGUCAGGUGGACUCAAAGAUCGGUCACAUCACCAACAGCAUUAUUUUUUAUUUUUUGCUGGCCUUUCACCAGAAGGCCCCAGGGAAGGUUACAGCAUAUAAAAACACAACUGAAACAGUAAAACAUCAACCGCCCCACUCAUAACCUCAAACUCAGUAAUCCUUCCACACAUUACAAGGACCAGACAGGCCAGAGUGCAGAGCUGCAUAUUCAGCCAUUGACAAAGGCUAUGAUGCCAGCCCCACCUCUGUGGGGAGGGAGUCUUGUGACGUCUUAGUAGCCACCGCCAACUUUCCUUGCACAGCUUUUUGGUGCAUUUCUCCCUGAGAAAAACUUUUUUUAAUUAUUUGGCAAGCAGUGGGUCAGCAAAGAGAAGCCCAGCAGAUGACCUCAUUGUCCCUGUGGUGAAAUAAGGAGGAGACCCCACCCAUCUCUCUUCUGCCACACCAGCUUUUGUGAUUACUUCUCAGUGUACAAAUCAGCAAGCACGCCUUCUUUCACACACAUGCUUGUACACAGGUAGAGGCAGCGUGUACCAGCGUGUUCAAUGUAAUGUGUGAACAAGCCCUUGUGUGGCCGUUGUUUGGGAUCUUUCGGAUCCAGAAGCAGACGUCUCAAUGUUUUGAAGACAGUUUUGUAAACGACAAGUCAAUAUAAACCUCUCUGUCAUUUGGGGGGAGGGUGUUGAAUACCACAGGAGAAGCCAAAAUAAUUUCUUGCUUUUUUAUGACCUGUGGUGGUGGGGAGGAGGUUCUUUUAUUUUUAUCCUGUUACAUUGAACAAUCACCCCCCCCCCCCGUUUUCUUUUUGCUUCUUUCAGGAGGAAAUCUUUUCAUUUUCUUAAAUAGGUUGGCUUUCCUGCAUGACAACCACUAGGUGACAUAAUAAUUUGUAUUGGAAAUGUUCCCUUCUUGGAUUAAAAAUCAGCUUCGACUGCAUUCCAACGUUCUGGGUGCAUUGCCAGUUUUGGUUAUCAAUGGACUAAAUAAUUCAAAACUUGGUGUCAUUAAAUGGAGCGGUGGGAGGUGUAACUAAAAUGAAUUUUCAGCCAUGCAGCUGGUAUUUUAACCCACAGGAAUCUGAAUGCAUAAUGUUUAAUUGGGCCUUUAUAUUUUUGGUUAUUAUCAAGUAUAAAAAGGUAAUCAUGGCAAAUGUUCUUCAAACACACUGCUAUAUCUUUUAACUCAGAAGUAAGUCCUGCUGUUUUCAGUGAGGUUUACUCUCUAAAUGUCAUUUAGGGAUGCAGCUUCAGGUCCAAAAAUAUGCAAAGCCAGGUCUUGAAUCAGAGAAUUUUAGGGUUGGACAUGACCUUGGAAAUGGUGACUCAUACCUACUGGAACUGGUAGGGCAGAUGAUAUUAUUAUCCCCGUGUCACAAUGGGUUAGUGUGUCUGGCUGUUAGCCAGAUGGUUGGUUCAAGCCCUCCAUGGAUGGCUGUUGGUAGAAUUCCUGCAUUUGAGCGGGUUGGACUAGAUGACCCCCAGGGUCCCUUCCAACUCUACAAGUAUAUUAUUCUAUUAUUAUUAUUAUUAUUAUUAUUAAUAAUAAUAAUUCCAAGGAUCUCAAGUUGGUGGACAUGGUUCCACCCCUCACUAUUUUAUCCUCACAACAACCUUGCGAGGUAGGUAAUCCUAAGAAAAAAUGACUGGGCUACGAUUAUAUAGUGUUUAUUUUUUUAUAUUAGGUAGGGUUUUUCCUGAUUGUUAGAUUAAGGGUGCUCUAGAAAUAAUUGCCAUUAUCCUCACCCAGCGACUACAAACUCAUACACUCCAAUAAUCUUCCCUGUUUGCCAGAACAAUUCCUAUUUUUUCCUGGAAAAUCACUGUCCCUACUUUCGCCCUAUUUGUUUUUUUGCUUGCUAGGGAUGCAUUGCUAAACAUGCGUAUGCGAGACUUUCUCGUGUCUUCAGGGUUUAAAUCUUCAGAAAUUAAAUCUCCAGAGUUGUGAACAGAUGCAUGUUUCCUUUAAGGGUACCAGGUAGUGUGCAACCUGCCAUUUUCCACACUGGAGCUGCUGAAAUCAUCAUCAUCUGUAGAGCACUUUCAAGUGUUUAAAAUGCUUCACACAAAUUGCCAUCCUUACAAGUGCCCUAAAAAUUAAAUCAGUAUUAAUACCCACCUCCAUCACAAACAGAGAGGAGUGAGGUUGAGGGAGAGAACAGCUUUGCUAAGGCCAUUCAGGGAGCACACGGGAGAGAUAAAAGGUAAAAUGGGACACGGGUGGUGCUGUGGUCUAAACCACUGAGCCUCUUGGGCUUGCUGAUUGGAAGGUCAGCAGUUCGAAUCCUCAUGACGGGGUGAGCUCCUGUUGCUCUUUCCCAGCUCCUGCCAACCUAGCAGUUUGAAAGCAUGCCUGUGCAAGUAGAUAAAUAGGUACUGUUGCAGUGGGAAGAUAAACGGUGUUUCCAUGUGCUCUGGUUUCCCUCACGGUGUCCCGUUGCGCCAGAAGCGGUUUAGUCAUGCUGGGUACACGGCCCAGAAAGCUGUCUGUGGACAAAUGCCGGCUCUUUCGGUCUGAAAGCGAGAUGAACGCUGCAACCCCAUAGUCGCCUUUGGCUGGACUUAACCGUCCAGGGUUCCUUCACAUGGGAGAGUUGAGAUUUGAACAUCUCUUUAGUCAUUCCUUGCUGUGUUUUCUUACUGUAAGGGAGAGAGCUGGAUCAGCAUUGAAAGAAGUUAAUGAUAAGCGAUGGACAUAGAUAAUCCCUGUUCUGUGAAAGCCACCAGCUUUUGAAGGUGACUCAUUCAUCCUCCUCACCACAGCUAAAGGUGAGGGAGGCCUUAUCUGAGGCCUCUGCGUGUGUGCCUCUGUGUAAACUGCAGUCUGAGUCAGAGAGGGUGCUCCCAGGUGAGGGUCAGAGUUUGCGUACGCACCACAUGUCUUUCCCCAAAGAAUCUUCAGAACUACUGUAUACUCAUGGAGCUACAAUUCCCAGCACCCUUGAUAAACUAUAGUUCCCAAGAUUGUUUCCCAUGGGCUUUAAAUGUUUGGCAUGUACACACCCUGAUAUCGCAAAUGUUAUUGCUCAGAGGGGAAUGCAGCCCUCAGGAUGAACAAAUUUCCCACACCUGGUGUUGGCAGUCCUGAGCUAGAUGGAUCAAUGGUCUGAUAAGACAGCUUCCUGUGUACCUAUAUAUUCAUUUUCUGCCAUCAGUGAGAAGUCAGAAUUCCUCCUGGUAUCAAGGAGUGAAGUUCAGCCCCUCCUCUGAAGGCAAACCUUUCUUGACUGGGUAAAGGUGGAGUUUUUGGCUGGUGAGACGAACACUGUGCCAAAGGUCAGACAGAGUGCAUGCGAAGGCUUUUUGUCCUCUUUCGUUCAGAUUGCCCAUAAUAACAUCUCGUUGUAGGUGUGCAAAUAAGUACCAGGAAGCCAUAAACCCUGCUACAUGCUCAAUCUGCACACCAAGCCACAGCGAGGAACUGAAGCAUGAGCACUGCCUGACAAGACACAUUGCCUGGGAACCACAUCCGAUUAGCUCCCUUUAGAUAACUCUCGAGCUAUUUGAGUAGCUGAUUUGCCACAAGGCAGAUAUUAAAUCCUAGCUUGAAGCUCGGAGCAGCAAAGCAGUGAAACCGGGGCACUUUCUCUGAGCUGGAGGAAUUGGAUUUCGCGGGGAAGGGCUAAGUCUGCGCAUGGCCUCAGUCGCUGCCGCCUAAUCGCUUACUGUAUGCGUCUGGCUGUUUUCAGCGCUAUGGCAAGAUUUGAAAUAUGCCGUGGAAGACUGAUCCUUGCCUGGAAACUGAAACUUAACUACAGUGGGAGCUGCAAGUCAACAUGCAUCUGUGUCAGAAGCAGCAGAAGCCGCUUAGAGCUUUAGGACAGCAAUCUGUAAUUAUGGUAAUACCACGGCCGGCAAACUCUGUGGGUCAAAACACCAGCCAGUCCGAUUGCAGACUUGUCUGCACCAGCACCUACAGCUGCAAAGAAGAGUCUUCACUUCCUUGAAGCAUUUCUUUUAAAAAGCUUUUGCUUGUGUAAAAGGAGGGACACAAUCCGAUUCAGAAAAAGCGAAUCCCUAAAUCAUACCUGCACUGUACAUCUAAAGCCCUGUUGCACCACUUUAGGGAUCACGUUUUCUCCUAAAGGAUCCUGGGAACUGUUGUUUGUUAAGGAUCUCCUAGGCACUGUGGGUUAAACCAUAGAGCCUAGGACUUGCCGAUCAGAAGGUUGGCGGUUCAAAUCCCUGCGACGGGGUGAGCUCCUGUUGCUCUGUCCCAGCUCCUGCCAACCUAGCAGUUCGAAAGCACGUCAAAGUGCCAAGUAGAUAAAUAGGUACCGCUCCAGCAGGAAGGUAAACGGCAUUUCCGUGCGCUGCUCUGGUUUGCCAGAAGUGGCUAGUCCUGCUGGCCACAUGACCUGGAAGCUGUAUGCCAGUUCCCUUGGCCAAUAAAGCGAGAUGAGCACCACAACCCCAGAGUCGGUCUCGACUGGACCUAAUGGUCAGGGGUCCCUUUACCUUACCUAACAACUCUGAACACCCUUCACAAACUGCAGUUCCUAGGAUUCUUUGAGAGGAAAGCUCUUAAAGUGGGAUAAGAGUGCUUUAAAUAUACGUUGUGGUUGUGGCCACAGUGAAACAUCCAAUUCAAAAUGCUGUUCUUCUGUACCAGGAAACAGAACAAUCCCUAAGUAGCCAUUUGUCAAACUAGUUCUUUAUUUUGUUACUGGAAAAAUCCGAGGGCUCCCUUGGACAAAAAGUAAAGACACCAACCAGAGUAAAUUGGAGCAAAUCAGCAGCCUGUAGGCUUGGCCUUUAUUGAACUGUUGCAACAGGGUGUUCCCCUCACUUGCAGGAGAGAGGAAAGACACAGAAAAUGGUGUGCAAGACCUUAUAAAAACUUUUGAAAUUCCCACCCUGUAGAUCAAGCCCACCCCCAGAAACAUCAUGCAUACAUUACAGAAAGGAGGGGUUGAGGGAGGAGUUGUGGUGGUAACCUGAGUGUCCUGUCACCUGGCUGGUUCCCCUCUACCCCUCCCCAUGAGUCAUUUUCUGAAGACAAAAGGUAGUCGCAGUUUCCUGCCCCCUGAGGGAAGAUCUGAUCAUUGUCCUUUGUUCCAGUCCAUGCAGAAUCCAUUCCCAUAUGCAAGUUCUUUGUGAUCUUGAUUGUCUUCUGUCUAGGACCAUCAGGGUUGGCAUAGCAACUGGGCAGGGCUCCUGUGGAUGUGCUGGGAUGGUGAAGGGAUUAUGGCUGACCAGAACCAAGCCACCCCCCUUUGAUAGUCCUUGUCAUAUGGAGUAAAAUAAAAAU